Long non-coding RNA from Leptopilina boulardi, 732 nucleotides. RefSeq lists it as uncharacterized. The record is from RefSeq and is a predicted model, not a curated record. NCBI's taxonomy places the organism in Eukaryota, Metazoa, Arthropoda, Insecta, Hymenoptera, Figitidae. The transcript is spliced from 4 exons.
GGAGAAGAAUAUUUAAAUUAACUCGAAAAAAAAUAAAUAAAUAAAUAAGAGCCAUAUAAACGCGACCACAAAUAAUUUUUUAACAAAUUGACUAGUGCAGAAUUUAUUUUGAAUAACUAAAGAAAGACGAUGAUUGUACCAAAAAAUAUUAACGAUGCUUUAUUACCAAUAACAAUUAUCAGUUGGAUUAUGGGAACUGGUAUUAUUGAAUAUCCCCUUGGCAAUCCUCAAACAAUAUUUAGUAUUAUAUAUUCAAUAAUUUGUAUAAUUAUACUAACUGCAUCAAUUGUUUUCAAUUAUUUUUCAAUUUCCACAAUUUAUUCUGAGGAGAUUCAAAUGAUAAAUAAAUUGAUACUCACCGUAUUUAUCAUUGGAUGCUAUUUUUUGUGUCUAAUUGUUAUUAUUUUAAGUAAAAUUAAUGCUCAAAAAUUAAAAUUUUGUUUGCAAGAACUUAAUUCUGUAGAUGAAAAAAUGAAGAGAAUAGGAAUAAUGGAAAAUUAUAGUAAAUCUUUUAGGAUGAGCAUUAUUACUGCAGCAAUUUUUAUUGUAUAUUUAAUAAUUUUUUUCGUAAUACUUUUUGCAAAACAUGUCAACAAAUUUAAUGCUAAAUCAAUCUGCACUAUAUUAGUUACAUUUUAUUUUGUAUUAGGAGCACCCUACAUCAUUGAAUGCAAAUUUAUACACAUAAUAAGGAUGAUACACUUAGAUUUAGUCAGAAUUUCAAGAUCUGUC